UAAUACGUAGGUGGCAAGCGUUGUCCGGAUUUACUGGGCGUAAAGGGCGUGCAGGCGGUCUGUUAAGUCUAGGGUGAAAGCUCCCGGCUCAACUGGGAGAGGUCCUUGGAUACUGGCGGACUUGAGGGAGGCAGAGGAGAAUAGAAUUCCCGGUGUAGUGGUGAUAUGCGUAGAUAUCGGGAGGAAUACCAGUGGCGAAGGCGGUUCUCUGGGACGGUACUGACGCUGAGACGCGAAAGCGGGGGGAGCGAACAGGA
RNAcentral lists this ribosomal RNA (257 nucleotides) under uncultured prokaryote. RNAcentral describes it as "partial 16S ribosomal RNA". It matches the Rfam family "Bacterial small subunit ribosomal RNA", at positions 521 to 777 of the family's 1533-position model. The record is from RNAcentral.